AUUGAACGCUGGCGGCAGGCCUAACACAUGCAAGUCGAGCGGAUGAAGGGAGCUUGCUCCUGGAUUCAGCGGCGGACGGGUGAGUAAUGCCUAGGAAUCUGCCUGGUAGUGGGGGAUAACGUCCGGAAACGGGCGCUAAUACCGCAUACGUCCUGAGGGAGAAAGUGGGGGAUCUUCGGACCUCACGCUAUCAGAUGAGCCUAGGUCGGAUUAGCUAGUUGGUGGGGUAAAGGCCUACCAAGGCGACGAUCCGUAACUGGUCUGAGAGGAUGAUCAGUCACACUGGAACUGAGACACGGUCCAGACUCCUACGGGAGGCAGCAGUGGGGAAUAUUGGACAAUGGGCGAGAACCUGAUCCAGCCAUGCCGCGUGUGUGAAGAAGGUCUUCGGAUUGUAAGGCACUUUAAGUUGGGAGGAAGGGCAGUAAGUUAAUACCUUGCUGUUUUGACGUUACCAACAGAAUAAGCACCGGCUAACUUCGUG
This 484-nucleotide ribosomal RNA is filed under the name uncultured bacterium. Its description in RNAcentral is "partial 16S ribosomal RNA". It matches the Rfam family "Bacterial small subunit ribosomal RNA", at positions 30 to 507 of the family's 1533-position model. The record is from RNAcentral.